CGGGCGAAGGUCUCAUGAUA
RNAcentral lists this microRNA (20 nucleotides) under Sphaeroforma arctica. The record is from RNAcentral. Lineage: Eukaryota; Ichthyosporea; Ichthyophonida.